Molecule: long non-coding RNA, 738 nt
Organism: Agrilus planipennis (emerald ash borer)
Lineage: Eukaryota; Metazoa; Arthropoda; Insecta; Coleoptera; Buprestidae
Exons: 4
Source: RefSeq, a predicted model, not a curated record
UCCACGAAUCAAGGAGAACUGAAAUUAAUUUUCAUACUGCUGAAUCAACCAAAGUCUACAAUGGUAUCCUUUUCCCGGACUUGAUUCCUGAUUAGCUGUUGACAUCCUCAUCUUGCAACAUCAUGCAGUUGAUUUUCGACUGAUGAUUGAGAGCAACUGGAAUAUUUGGACCCCACUGAGACAACAUCCUAUGGCAUACACUUCAGAAUGUCACAUUGUGCAGUUAACUAAGGAAUAUUAUACAAACUAUGGAUAUCAUGCAUUAUGGAGCAUUCGUCAUAUCAGUCAUUUUUCACUCCAGGAUGUAGCGGUAGUCGAAGGAUAUAAGAAGGUGCCUUUUUUCCCAUUGGAGGCAGAGGAAGUGUACUGUUGUUGCUAAAGGAAGGAUACGUGAUAAUGAAUUGAUUGAACAACAAACGAUGCUAUUGAGGCAACCAAUUACAAUAGUACAAUUAUCCUGGACUUGAUCCUUGAUCUGCUGUUGACGGUUUCGCCUUGCGUCGAUGAAUGAGAGCAACUGGGAAUUUACUUGGGCCCCACUGUUUUCCCGGAUUUGGAUUGCUUUCAAUACUAGUCCAAUGGAACGUAACAUUCUGCAAUUAACUAAGGUCGACGGGGGAGAAGAUAAAGAAGAUCCCGUAGUUAGAAUACUUCUCUAUUUUGCACGCAUAUUUAAGUUCGUUUUUUCCAAAUAAUUUUUUAUUUUGCAUGUCAUUUGUAGAUUAUUUUUUUUAAUUC